RNAcentral lists this long non-coding RNA (261 nucleotides) under Homo sapiens (human). RNAcentral describes it as "HSALNT0044418". The record is from RNAcentral. Lineage: Eukaryota; Metazoa; Chordata; Mammalia; Primates; Hominidae.
GCCAAGUGUUGAUUCUGACAUUCCCUUUCUUCAGAAGACUGCUGAAGGCAAUGGCCUGAAAAAGCAUUUCUAAAGUUCUAUUCAAGCUCGAUUCUGAUGAAACAAAACCUCUCAGAAAAUCUGCCAUGAUCAUGAGGAUGCAUACUGAAAGAACAUGUGGUAUAUAGACCAGCUCUGCUGCAAUAUGAGGAACAGAUGCUGGCAAGCUCUUAUCCUGACAAAAAGAGGGUCAAACUUCAGGGAUUAGUCAUGUAAAGAUGA